The sequence is a regulatory RNA element, 102 nucleotides long. It matches the Rfam family "azaaromatic riboswitch aptamer (yjdF RNA)". The record is from Rfam.
UAAGGCAAGGAUUAAAACACAGUCCCGGUUGGUAGUCCGGGCGCAGCUUCAAAAUCUGUCAGUAACCUGCCUCCUCGGUUGUCCGGUCUUUGCUGUCGAAAG